Molecule: long non-coding RNA, 2587 nt
Organism: Ipomoea nil (Japanese morning glory)
Lineage: Eukaryota; Viridiplantae; Streptophyta; Magnoliopsida; Solanales; Convolvulaceae
Exons: 4
Source: RefSeq, a predicted model, not a curated record
CCUCACGCCUCCAGUGUUCUUCGAUUCGCCGUCUCACACCUCCGCCUCCGCCCGUAGCUGUGAAAAGAACGAAAGAGUUAAACCCUAAUUCAUCCAUCACUCAGGUUUGAUUCUGGAUAUGGAUCUGGGAGACCAUCUACAUAUGCUGAACAUUCCAGCACUUAUGCGGCUAUGCUUUUCAAAUAAUUUUCCAGAUGAACGCUGGAGCUGUAACGCUUACAGACUGUGUCUUUUGGUUUGUUCUUGUACCAUAUCUGACCUUCGAAGGCUACAAUUUGAAUUUUGUAAGUACAGUGAGUGCCCGGAUUGAAUUCUCUGUGGACUAUGUUGUCGCCGGAAGGCUUGGGGGAGCGGGUACUUAUAUAUUUUACCUCCAUUAUUUAUUCAAAUGAUUUUUCAAUUUCAAAUAGAACUUCCAUUAUUUAUUCAAACGAAACACAUUAUAACUGUUUUAUUAUUAUUAUUAUUAUUAUUAUUAUUAUUAUUAUUAUUAUUAUUAUUAUUAUUAUUAUUAUUAUUAUUAUUAUUAUUAUUAUUAUUAUUAUUAUAAAAGUAAAACCUAUUAUCAAGAUUGAUCUUAUAUUUUGUUAUCCUAUGAACUGAUUGUACUGGGUAUGUUGUUCUGGUUCUUAGUCAUGAAUGAACCUAUUGGACAUUCUGGUAACCCUGAUUUCUUAAAGAGAAAUAGUGUACUGCUGGUUUAGAUUUUUGUGUUAAGAAAGGGCUAUAACUGAGGGUGUGCACAGUUUUCCCAUAUCUGCACUCUGAUGCUAAAUGGUGAGUUCCAGUUAGUUUUAGUAUGGCAUGCUGUCAUAUAUGAGCCAUCUGAGUAAAAGGAGAAAAUUGAAUUGUCUCAGUCAUGCAUCCAACCUAGUUGGGCAGAGUGGUCUAGAGUUAGUUUGUCACAAUGGUUUUCUAUUUUAUUUUGAUCAAUAAUCUAAGUUCACUUCUUUUUGCACUGGGUAUGUUGUUCUGGUUCUUAGUCAUUUGUGACUGUUCAAAAACCUAAGUAGGCACUCAACUAGUUAUUUUCCCACAAAAGAUGUACUGUAUUUUGUGAAAGUUAUAUAAGGCUGGCAUUGCUAUUGUUAUCUAUGCAAUGUUUGAGUAAAAUUGAUUCUUCCAGAACCUAAUCCCAUUCGUAACACAGAGCAGUGGUUGUCUUGGAUGUGAUAAUAAGGCAAAAUUGAUUUUAUCCUCUAACAAGUCACCAAACAAAGGAUAACAUGGCUCCAGUAUGUAGCACAUCAGAAGAUUUCUGGACUACUAGCACACGGGGCAUGGAUACCAAUGGACAAAAAAUCUGGAAUCAUUUGAGAAGUUGUUACAUAUUCCUGCAUCUUAAUCUUGUACCAUGCAACUUAAAAUGCAUUAUAAGCUAUUAGCUUAGCCUUUAUGAUUUGAAGAGACUAGGAUAUCUGCCCUUCCAACUGUCUUGUCUAGUUGCCUUAGAAUCCAAUAUGUUGGAUAUAAUUACAUCGAAUCUUUUGUGUUUUUUAUCUGCUGGUGCCUGGUGGUUAGAAUAGGUAGAUAUAUUUUAAUCCCUGACCCUGUGGUGCUUCAUACAUCUUCAGCCCCUUCAUUUCUAUUUAGUACCAUUUUGUGAACCAAAUUAUUGUUAGCAUAGUUAUUGGAGAACAGUUAGAAUAUACUGUACAUGAGUGCACGACAGUAAAUUGAAUUAUAAUUACUUUUCAGUGGAAGUUUGCAUUAGUUUGUAGGGGAUAUUUUAAGUACCAAGAGGACUCUGAUAUUUUGUCAAAAUGCUUUGAGUGAUUGAGAGCAGUACCUUGGAAUGGAGCAUACUGACAAUGCUCCUAAAUGCCCAAAUUCUUCUUCAGCCCCUUCUCGUUCUUCCACUUCCGACGUGGCUUCAUUCGCCCGCGGCAGCUCUUCCUCCUGGAGUGGCAAUCUUUCUAUGUUGCAUGUACGCCUAAUGUCUGCUGAAGAUGAAACCAGAAGCUGCUGCAUUGAACCUGGAAAUAAAUUAGCUACAAACACGUAUCCUUACGUUGAAAAUGGAAGCUGCCGCGAAUACGUAUGAUGAGCCUGGAAAUGAAUAUACUGCUACCACGUAAUGAUGAACCUGGAAGGCAGUACAACUCCUUACCAUUUGAAAAAUAGCUCGCAUGCAACCAUCCAACUCCUUACCAUUUGAAAAAUAGCUCGCAUUCUGGGGAAUCUGCCAGCAAAUCUUCCCAGAAGGCAGGAAUGAUGUGCAUACAAGAAGUGGUGCAAGGUUGAGCUUGAGGAGAUGCCAUGUAUUGAGUAUUGCGUCCUGCAAGGUGGUGAGAGUGAAGACAUAAUGGGCAGAAAGGGCACCUAAGAGAGGGAUUAUAAACAGCAGAUUCGAGGCAUGGGUAAUCAAGAAAUGGAAAAAAUGGUUCAAAUGUUUCAGUCUGCGGCGUGAUGGGAGAAUAUUGUUAUUGUUCUUUUGUGUGUCCAUUGUCAGCUAGGUAUAAGACCAUAUAACAAUAAUCUAUGUGUUCUUGGAUGUAAGAGUAUCUUCUACAGUACAAGACAUGUAUCCUGAUCGCUGAUAUACUAAGAUUCAUAUGUAACAAUAUUUUUCAUUAAGUCACAUUAA